RNAcentral lists this transfer RNA (75 nucleotides) under Chloroflexota bacterium. Its description in RNAcentral is "Chloroflexi bacterium (oil production facility metagenome) tRNA-Gln". It matches the Rfam family "tRNA". From Rfam's summary of the family: Transfer RNA (tRNA) molecules are approximately 80 nucleotides in length. Their secondary structure includes four short double-helical elements and three loops (D, anti-codon, and T loops). The record is from RNAcentral. RNAcentral also lists the same sequence under 1 other name. Lineage: Bacteria; Bacillati; Chloroflexota.
UGGGGCGUCGCCAAGCGGAAAGGCAGCGGCCUUUGGAGCCGCGAUUCGAAGGUUCGAAUCCUUCCGCCCCAGCCA